CCGGGAUAGAGGGAAAAGUGGAGGGGCGAGGAAGCUGACGAAGGAUAGAACGUCAGUCGCGCACGAGGAGCUGUUAAAGGGGGAGUAAGAAAGAAAAAGAGACCAUGGCUUGGACCCAACAGAGAUGUCUAUACACAGAAGAGAUUUCUGUCUCCCCCAUCCCAAUGUAGCCUGAAAUGCCCCCUGAAAUGCUACUCUUAGGUGAACGGAGACUUCCAGGAAGAGCUUGGCAUGGCAGCUGGAGGUGUCCUGACUCUGGAGUUCCAGAAGUGAGGGAGCGCUGACAGGUAAAAGCACCCCAAGGCAGAAUGCAUCCUCGCCAGACGGUCUCGCAUCAGCUGAUCGCUGCCACUGCCGCUCUCUACUAUGUGCAUCUUCUCAGAUAUUGGAGUGUGGGGUUUGCCUUGGCCGUGGACCGAGGCAAAGCCCACAUGUGUGUCUUUUUCUUGCAGGCAUGUCCCGAGCAUGUCCGCUCCUCCCCGCCCCCCCCCAACCCUCUGCGAGUGACAUGCAGAUCCAGCCCAGGAAGCAAUAUCUCACCGCAGUCCACAUCUCAGCCUCGCCCCUGGGAGCAAGAAGGAGGGCUGUACGAAACGCCUUGGCUCCCUUUCCAGCCUAGAAACAAGGGCGCUUUUUCCAGUUUAA
This is a long non-coding RNA of Eublepharis macularius, 645 nucleotides long. RefSeq lists it as uncharacterized. The transcript has 4 exons. NCBI's taxonomy places the organism in Eukaryota, Metazoa, Chordata, Lepidosauria, Squamata, Eublepharidae. The record is from RefSeq and is a predicted model, not a curated record.